GCCGCCGCCGCCCCGGAGCGGCCCUGACCCCUGACUCCCGCAUUCCUCCGGCUGCGCCCCCCCAGCGCACACUCUCACCCCCCCAGCACGGGUUUUUAUUUUUCGUCCCAAUGUGCUUUAAAUAUGCUCUCUAUGAAUAGAGAGAGUGCCUAUUUACUCUGAAAUACUUGGCACAGCGAGUGGAGUCUGAAGCAUGGAAGAAGUGGCUAUUAUUUUCCCACUGCCUGUAUGCAGCUGUCAUUUCUGAGCAACACGUUCCUCGCACAUCCCUGCUUCCAACCUUGCUGAUGGUCUGUCCCAGGAUUGCAACAAGAAGAGAAUGGCAUGCCACCUCACUCAGCCAAAACCUUAACACUGUGGUUUGUAUUUGACUGAACACAGGACCUAAGCAUUGUUGCUUGUA
Molecule: long non-coding RNA, 403 nt
Organism: Catharus ustulatus (Swainson's thrush)
Lineage: Eukaryota; Metazoa; Chordata; Aves; Passeriformes; Turdidae
Exons: 2
Source: RefSeq, a predicted model, not a curated record